RNAcentral lists this long non-coding RNA (299 nucleotides) under Gallus gallus (chicken). RNAcentral's name for it is "long non-coding RNA NONGGAT008503". Lineage: Eukaryota; Metazoa; Chordata; Aves; Galliformes; Phasianidae. The record is from RNAcentral.
UGGGGCGGCUCGGCGUUCUCAAUGGACAGCAGAGUGGGAGGGGCUGUGGUGAUUCCGAGCUCUCCCUCAGGGCGUGCGCGAGGAGGGUGGAGUGUUCUGGGCGUUCCGAGUGAGGUGGUUCAUUUCCGUACGUCGUUUUUUGUCCCGGAGGAAGAAAAAAAGCUGAAGAUAAAGAGGAAAAGAAAAAUGGAGGACAUAGCAGGAAUUCAGCAGUGUUAAACCUUGAGGUACUGGGACAUAAACGUACAGCCCAAAGAAAAGAUGCCAUGUUUAUUGUAACAACACAUACACAAACAAGG